UGUGUCUCUUCUGCGAAGCUGCACCCACCUCGUCUGUCUGGGGGUGGCAGCCCCAAAUCAGCUGAUGGAGUUCACGCACCCCUGUGCAGACGCAGCCUCCCCCAGGGCCUUUGGCUGCCGUACACCCUCAGGCUUGGUCCCUCUCAGCAGCCACUGAAUCAGACAGCUGCCCCAAGACCUGACUUGCACUGUACUCCUGCUGAAGUGACCCGUCUCAAGAUAUCUGGACGCAGGUCCCUGGAAGUCUUUGUCACAUAGAGUUGGGAAAACUCAGUCCAGGCCCUGAAAGAGUUUACUUUCUAACUGGCAGGGACCCCGCACUUAACGUCAGGAGCCCCCAGUGCCGAAUCCUGAAAAGAGUACUCGAAUGUGCAAAAGGGUGUCUCUCAGCACUUCAGGCAGCAAAGCGCUUUGCAGAGACAUGAACGCGAGUGUUUGCUGUGCGUGUGGGGCUGCUGGCACCGACGGGAGCUCAGGCUU
Molecule: long non-coding RNA, 480 nt
Organism: Homo sapiens (human)
Lineage: Eukaryota; Metazoa; Chordata; Mammalia; Primates; Hominidae
Source: Ensembl